RNAcentral lists this ribosomal RNA (353 nucleotides) under Gayenna americana. RNAcentral describes it as "partial 16S ribosomal RNA". Lineage: Eukaryota; Metazoa; Arthropoda; Arachnida; Araneae; Anyphaenidae. The record is from RNAcentral.
UUGUCUUUUAAUUGAAGACUAGAACAAAAGAUUUAACAAUUUAAUUAAUAUACAAAAAUUUAAAUUUAUUUUAAAUGUAAAAAAACAUUUAUAUAUUAGGAAGACGACAAGACCCUAUUAAACUUAACUUAAGUUAAACUGGGGCAGUUAAUCAAUUAUUAUUUUAAUAAAAAUAAUAGCAUAAAAGAUCCAACACAAUUGAUUAAAUAAAUAAGUUACUAUAGGGAUAACAGCGCAAUAUUUAUUUAAAGAUCUCAUUUAAAUAAAAGAUUACGACCUCGAUGUUGAAUUAAUAACCUAAAUUAUUGCAGUAAAUAAAUAAAGGAAGUCCGUUCGACUUUUAAAAAAUUACA